RNAcentral lists this long non-coding RNA (991 nucleotides) under Homo sapiens (human). Its description in RNAcentral is "HSALNT0338003". The record is from RNAcentral. Lineage: Eukaryota; Metazoa; Chordata; Mammalia; Primates; Hominidae.
CGCACAGCAAAUGUGCUGAGCAAACACCUCGGCAUUCAUCACUAUGCGGGGGCUGUUUACUGCCUCAUAAACUUGGAAGCAAGUGAUAUUGUCUCCUAAAUCAAUGGCUGCGCGGACAGCCUUGGCGCUCCAGGAGAACAGCACGGCCAGGCCGCGCCCGUGCUGAAAUUAAUGACUGGAGCAGUGACUGGAAGGUGCUUAGUCACUGCCGAGGGGAUUAGGAGCCAUUCCAGGGGACGAGCAGCCAGCCGAUGCUGAUGAGUCGGGGGCCGGAUGCCCCAACCAGAGCUCUGUGAUUAACCAGCUGAGUAAGCCUGCUUGGACCCCCAGAUCAGAAAGAGUCCAUCUCCCUGAGCUUACCACAGUAUGCACUGACCUAUGAUGGCACAGACUUGGCAUACAACCCAGCUGUGGCCAGCGAGACACAGAGCAAGCCUGCUGAUGGGGCUUCCAGGAAAUACUUUUAUUUUUCUUCAGAUACAAGACAAAGGCAUGUAAGGAAAAGACCUUUCUGCACCUUCCCCAACUUCCUGCCUCCAACGCUUCUGUGUGAUGAUGUGAUACUUGGAACAUGGUGGCAUCUUGUGACCAUGAGGUGACAGGCUUGGCAUGGACAGCCGUGUGCUGUGGGUGGCAGAGCAGGUAACCAGGAAGCCUGGUGCUGACACCCAUCCUCCUGCACCUAUGCCAGCUGGGACCGCCCACCUCCGGACUUCUGACCGUGUGAGCUGACGGCCUCUCUUCACUGCCUGGUGCCUGUUGGUCAGCUGUUUCGUUACUUGUGAUCAAAAGCAUUCCUGAUGGAUUCAAGACUCUUUGAAGAAACUGGAGCUGUGUCACCUGGAAUCUCUGCUGUCAGCUGCUUGAAUCCCCUCCCAGCAUUUCCACCAACCUGUGCUUAGGCAAUUAGAGAAGGAGGAACUCAGGCCAGGCGCGGUGGCUCACGCCUGUAAUCCCAGCACUUCGGGAGGCCGAGGCGGGCGGAUCAAGA